This 449-nucleotide ribosomal RNA is filed under the name uncultured bacterium. RNAcentral's name for it is "partial 16S ribosomal RNA". It matches the Rfam family "Bacterial small subunit ribosomal RNA", at positions 29 to 523 of the family's 1533-position model. The record is from RNAcentral.
AACGAACGCUGGCGGCAUGCCUAACACAUGCAAGUCGAACGAGAUCUUCGGGUCUAGUGGCGCACGGGUGCGUAACGCGUGGGAAUCUGCCCUUUGGUUCGGAGUAACAGUUGGAAACGACUGCUAAUACCGGAUGAUGACGAAAGUCCAAAGAUUUAUCGCCAGAGGAUGAGCCCGCGUAGGAUUAGCUAGUUGGUGUGGUAAAGGCGCACCAAGGCGACGAUCCUUAGCUGGUCUGAGAGGAUGAUCAGCCACACUGGGGCUGAGACACGGCCCAGACUCCUACGGGAGGCAGCAGUGGGGAAUACUGGACAAUGGGCGAAAGCCUGAUCCAGCAAUGCCGCGUGAGUGAUGAAGGCCUUAGGGUUGUAAAGCUCUUUUACCCGGGAUGAUAAUGACAGUACCGGGAGAAUAAGCUCCGGCUAACUCCGUGCCAGCCGCCGCCGUAA